AUUCCUCCUCUCAAAAACAUUCACUGUUAUUUUGCUAAAUAUCUCUAUAAGAUUUAAUCAUUGCUCGGGUGGUGGAUUGACCUAGGAAUGGUUAUGUAUGUGCCACAUUUUGCUCCUUGCUUUAGAAAAACUUUUAUAAGAUUAUUUCCAAGUAAAAUAUUUUAUUAUACUAAUAUCAGGAGCAUUUUAUGCUACUAGUAAAAUGUGUGCAUUGUUUUAGAGGCUGGAUUGUAAAACUAACCAUAUAUCUUGUAAAUCAUCAGAAAGAAGAAACUUCAGUGGCUGUCUCAGAUAUUAAGCAUACAGAUUUUAGUAGCAGGGUGUCUAUGUUUAAUUUUUCAUUUAUUUAGACACAAUAUCUAUUCUAACUUAAGGCUUACAAAAUGCAAAUAUUGAAAAAUUCUUUAAUACAGAACACAUACACAGACAUUUGACUUCCAGCUUGGUAUGUUUCAUCUGCUUCAUCUUCUUUUGCAGGGCAUUAACUUCUGGGAAUAAACUGCUCUCAGCUGUAAAAUGAACCCUUAGCCCCUGUGUUCAUGAAAUGGAUUGAGUUCAUUGUGGCACUGAUUUACUGUAACUAGAUGCAAGAUUGAUGCAUCCAGGAGAAACCAUUCCAUGUAUCUCAUCUGUCUCAGGAACUGCCCCUUUAAUCUCUUUACUAGAUUUGAUUGCUCUCUAACAAACCAACAGACACCUCUAAAGCAGGACACAAUGAAAUUUAGCAUUGAUAAAUUGCUCAGGGCCUUUUGUAAAAUCCCAGCCCAUGAUAUCAGGACCUUCUUUCCUUGUUCUGAAGAUCUUGAUGUUGGACUCAGAUGUUUCAUCAGUCUCUAG
Molecule: long non-coding RNA, 837 nt
Filed under: Parus major (Great Tit)
Lineage: Eukaryota; Metazoa; Chordata; Aves; Passeriformes; Paridae
Description: lncRNA (ENSPMJG00000001317.1)
Source: RNAcentral